Molecule: ribosomal RNA, 792 nt
Filed under: uncultured crenarchaeote
Lineage: Archaea; Thermoproteati; Thermoproteota
Description: bacterial SSU rRNA
Rfam family: Archaeal small subunit ribosomal RNA
Source: RNAcentral
ACUGCUCAGUAACACGUAGUCAACUACCCUAUGGACGGGAAUAAACUCGGGAAACUGAGUAUAAUACCCGAUAGAACAUUAUGCCUGGAAUGGUUUAUGUUCUAAAUGAUUUAUCGCCGUAGGAUGGGACUGCGGCCUAUCAGUUUGUUGGUGAGGUAAUGGCCCACCAAGACUAUUACAGGUACGGGCUCUGAGAGGAGUAGCCCGGAGAUGGGUACUGAGACACGGACCCAGGCCCUAUGGGGCGCAGCAGGCGAGAAAACUUUGCAAUGUGCGAAAGCACGACAAGGUUAAUCCGAGUGGUUUCUGCUAAAGGAACCUUUUGCCAGUCCUAGAAACACUGGUGAAUAAGGGGUGGGCAAGUUCUGGUGUCAGCCGCCGCGGUAAAACCAGCACCUCAAGUGGUCAGGAUGAUUAUUGGGCCUAAAGCAUCCGUAGCCGGCUCUGUAAGUUUUCGGUUAAAUCUGUACGCUCAACGUACAGGCUGCCGGGAAUACUGCAGAGCUAGGGAGUGGGAGAGGUAGACGGUACUCGGUAGGAAGGGGUAAAAUCCUUUGAUCUAUUGAUGACCACCUGUGGCGAAGGCGGUCUACCAGAACACGUCCGACGGUGAGGGAUGAAAGCUGGGGGAGCAAACCGGAUUAGAUACCCGGGUAGUCCCAGCUGUAAACUAUGCAAACUCAGUGAUGCAUUGGCUUGUGGCCAAUGCAGUGCUGCAGGGAAGCCGUUAAGUUUGCCGCCUGGGAAGUACGUACGCAAGUAUGAAACUUAAAGGAAUUGGCGGGGGAGCAC